GAUUGAACGCUGGCGGCAGGCUUAACACAUGCAAGUCGAACGGUAGCCGGAGAAAGCUUGCUUUCUUGCUGACGAGUGGCGGACGGGUGAGUAAUGCUUGGGAAUCUGGCUUAUGGAGGGGGAUAACGACGGGAAACUGUCGCUAAUACCGCGUAGUAUCGGAAGAUGAAAGUGCGGGACCGCAAGGCCGCAUGCCAUAAGAUGAGCCCAAGUGGGAUUAGGUAGUUGGUGGGGUAAAGGCCUACCAAGCCUGCGAUCUCUAGCUGGUCUGAGAGGAUGGCCAGCCACACUGGAACUGAGACACGGUCCAGACUCCUACGGGAGGCAGCAGUGGGGAAUAUUGCGCAAUGGGGGGAACCCUGACGCAGCCAUGCCGCGUGAAUGAAGAAGGCCUUCGGGUUGUAAAGUUCUUUCGGUAUUGAGGAAGGAGUGUAUGUUAAUAGCAUACAUUAUUGACGUUAAAUACAGAAGAAGCACCGGCUAACUCCGUG
This 491-nucleotide ribosomal RNA is filed under the name uncultured bacterium. RNAcentral describes it as "partial 16S ribosomal RNA". It matches the Rfam family "Bacterial small subunit ribosomal RNA", at positions 27 to 507 of the family's 1533-position model. The record is from RNAcentral.